Molecule: RNA transcript, 1129 nt
Organism: Otolemur garnettii (small-eared galago)
Lineage: Eukaryota; Metazoa; Chordata; Mammalia; Primates; Galagidae
Gene name: serine-threonine kinase receptor-associated protein-like
Exons: 2
Source: RefSeq, a predicted model, not a curated record
AUGGUAAUGAGAUAGACACCACUCACUUGCUCCGACCACACACAGCCUGUGGUUGAUCUAGCCUUCAAUGGCAUCACCCCUUAAGGGUGUUUCUUAAUCAGCACUUGCAAAGAUGGUAAACCUAUGCUACAACAGGGAGAUACAGGAGACUGGAUUGGAGCAUUUUGGGUCAUAAAGGUGCUGUUUGGGAUGCAACAUUGAAUAAGGAUGCCACCAAAGCAGCUACAGCAGCUGCAGAUUUCACAGCCAAAGUGUGGGAUACUGUCUCAGGAGAUAAACUGAUGACCCUGGCUCAUAAACACAUUGUCAAGACUGGAUUUCACACAGGAUUAUUUAUUAACUGGGGGACAAGAUAAACUUACGCAUAUACGAUUUAAACAGACCUGAAGCAGAACCUAAGGAAAUUAGUGGUCACACCUCUGGUAUUAAAAAGGCUCUAUGGUGCAGUGAAGAUAAACAGAUUCUUUCAGCUGAUGAUAAAACUGUUCGACUUUGGGAUCUUGCUACUAUGACAAAAGUGAAAUCUCUAGAUUUUAAUAUGUCUGUUAGUAGUAUGGAAUAUAUUCCUGAGGGAGAGAUUUUGGUUAUAACUUAUGGACAAUCUAUUGCUUUUCAUAGUGCAGUAAAUCUGGACCCAAUUAAAUCCUCUGAAGCUCCCGCAACCAUCAAUUCUGCAUCACUUCCUCCUGAGAAAGAAUUUCUUGUUGCAAAUGGUGAAGAUUUUAAACUUCAUAAGUAUGGUUAUAAUAGUGGAGAAGAAUUAGAAUCCUACAGAGGAUACUUUGGUCCUAUUCACCGUGGGAGAUUUAGUCUUGAUGGAGAGCUCUAUGCCAGUGGGUCUGAAACUGUGGUAGGAAAAAUAUAUGACCUCUGGAAAUGUGUGCUUCCUGAGGAAAAUAGUGGUGACCUGGCAAAACCAAAGGUUGGUUUUUCAGAGACAACAGAAGAGGAGCUAGAAGAAAUUGCUUCAGAGAAUUCAGAUUCCAUCUAUUCUUCAACUCCUGAAGUUAAGGCCCGAGCAUCAGACACAUACCACAAAUAGUAUACAACCUAUAGACUAAAGCAAGCAAGCAGAGAAAAGCAUCAGCCUUCCAGAGUUACUCUCUGCUAAAAGAAAAGACAGACAUAA